Molecule: long non-coding RNA, 1309 nt
Organism: Ceratitis capitata (Mediterranean fruit fly)
Lineage: Eukaryota; Metazoa; Arthropoda; Insecta; Diptera; Tephritidae
Exons: 3
Source: RefSeq, a predicted model, not a curated record
AUGGUGUGGAGAGUGGACCGCAAAGUGGGUGGAUGUGAGUGCGGGUGGUCUUAGAUUGUAUUCCAUCAACUAUGUACGUGAGUAUGUUCGUGAGCAACGCACCAAUUACCUCGUCAAGAAGUCAUUACCAUGCGCAGAAAAUGUUGAAAAGCAACGCGUAUACAACAUCCCUGCCUCCAGCACACCAUAUCGUACUACCCGCAGCAGCAGCAGAAGCAGCAGCAGCAGUAGCUAAUGCGCUACCAUCGAUGUUUAAUUUUCUUAAAGCUUAAGUAGAGCACAGCUCCUCCGUUUACAUAAGCCAUACUACCUACUUUUACUCUAUGCACAAUUCCCUCCAUCGCCAUCUCAAAUUGCUACUUAAGUUGGUAUUUUACAUUUAUACAGAAUUGCUACAGCUACAACAGCGCAGAAAAGUAAUGCCAGAAGAGUGCCGGAAAAGGGAAAUUCGCUGUUGACAGGAAAUACACUCGAAAUUGGCAAUUUUGCAUUUACGUUAAUAAUACUCCAGCGUAUUUACUACUACUUUAUGCGUCUAGGAAAAGUAGAGCUGCAAGUAGAUGGAGCAAAAAGACGACUGAAAUGAAAUUAUAGAAGCGAAUAACGUGCGCAUGGAAAUAGCACAGCAUGAGAGUGGCAGUGUUGGAGAGAUGGUUUAUAAAGAAAAGUGGAAGAGAUGUGCGGUUUAUUUUCACGUUAUACGGGUGCUGUGGAAGAAAUUAACUGAGAAUAGUACAUAGAAGGAUGUACUUUAAAUGUAGCAACACAGACGAUACUUGCUGUGCCGCAUAGCCGUCAACAACAACAAAAUCAUGGCUGUCUUCCCGGUUGUUGUUGUUGUUGCCAUGGACUUUGUCGACGUUGUCAUCGUCGUAAGCCAAUAUGACGCGCAAUUAUUUGUAAUGGAGACGUCAUAAAAAACAGCGCACAGCUAAAUAAAAGUAGAGUAAAAGUAUUAAGUUGAAAAAAAUGAAAGACAAGUUAGGCGAGCUGGCGUAUUUGGGGAGGCUAAUCAGCGUAUAGAAGUGAAAUCGUAUUUCAAAGAUGGCGCCAAGUAUGGCGGCGCUGUUGGCAUACAAAUAACAGCAGACACACACACACAGCAAUAACACACGAGCUCUUCUUCGGCGCUGUCUCAAGGGACAAUGUGUGACACAAAAUAAUUUCAUUUUCUUAAAUUGCAACAGCUUUAAAAGUCCACACAGAGCACAACAAAAGGACAUGUAAUCAAAUUAAAUACGAGAACAAUGAUAUUCCAGCAAGGCAAAGGAAGAAGGAUAUCCGGACUCUACGGUGGUAGACAAGUAUG